RNAcentral lists this ribosomal RNA (253 nucleotides) under uncultured bacterium. Its description in RNAcentral is "partial 16S ribosomal RNA". It matches the Rfam family "Bacterial small subunit ribosomal RNA", at positions 524 to 776 of the family's 1533-position model. The record is from RNAcentral.
UACGUAUGGUGCGAACGUUGUUCGGAAUCACUGGGCAUAAAGAGCACGUAGGCGGUUAAGCAAGUCCAUUGUGAAAUCCCCCGGCCUAACCGGGGAACUGCAUUGGAUACUACUUGACUUGAGUGCAGGAGGGGAGAGUGGAAUUCCAGGUGGAGCGGUGAAAUGCGUAGAUAUCGAGAGGAACACCGGUGGCGAAGGCGGCGAUCUGGACGAUGACUGACGCUGAGACGCGAAAGCGUGGGGAGCAAACAGG